RNAcentral lists this long non-coding RNA (213 nucleotides) under Elaeis guineensis (African oil palm). RNAcentral describes it as "long non-coding RNA (EGUI_LNC082384)". Lineage: Eukaryota; Viridiplantae; Streptophyta; Magnoliopsida; Arecales; Arecaceae. The record is from RNAcentral.
GUUCCUACAAUGAAUAUGCUACAGCCAACAUACACCUCAAAAUUCUGAAUGGCUAGGAGACCGAGUUAUGGAGUAGUCAAACUAUAACACACUCAAAGUGAACUGUCGAUGUACCUCAGGUCAAAGAACUAGACACACAGCUGCAGCAUCGAGCUAGUCAUCGACGAGAAGAUAGACUUCCUUAUGACUGCUCGAGGUGGUCACGCUCAGUAC